This 516-nucleotide ribosomal RNA is filed under the name uncultured bacterium. RNAcentral's name for it is "bacterial SSU rRNA". It matches the Rfam family "Bacterial small subunit ribosomal RNA", at positions 17 to 518 of the family's 1533-position model. The record is from RNAcentral.
UCCUGGCUCAGAUUGAACGCUGGCGGCGUGCUUAACACAUGCAAGUCGCGCGUGAAAGGACUUCGGUCCGAGUAAAGCGGCGCACGGGUGAGUAACGCGUGGAUGAUCUACCCAUGAGUUAGGAAUAACGGCUGGAAACGGUCGCUAAUACCAAAUACGCUCCGAUUUCAACUUCGGGGGAAAGGUGGCCUCUGCUUGCAAGCUACUGCUCAUGGAUGAGUCCGCGUCCCAUUAGCUAGUUGGUGGGGUAACGGCCCACCAAGGCGACGAUGGGUAGCCGGUCUGAGAGGAUGACCGGCCACACUGGGACUGGAACACGGCCCAGACUCCUACGGGAGGCAGCAGUGGGGAAUAUUGCGCAAUGGGCGAAAGCCUGACGCAGCGACGCCGCGUGAGGGAUGAAGGUCCUCGGAUCGUAAACCUCUGUCAGGAGGGAAGAACCGCCACGGUGCUAAUCAGCCGUGGUCUGACGGUACCUCCAAAGGAAGCACCGGCUAACUCCGUGCCAGCCGCAGC